Molecule: long non-coding RNA, 2882 nt
Organism: Capsicum annuum
Lineage: Eukaryota; Viridiplantae; Streptophyta; Magnoliopsida; Solanales; Solanaceae
Exons: 2
Source: RefSeq, a predicted model, not a curated record
CAUAUGUAUCUGUACAUAUAUAUACAAAAGUUUAGAAAACCUAGAGCUCCAAUCAUAUUUAUCCACCACCAAUGCCAGCCUCCACCCUCCCCUUAUUUUCCCAUUCUUUUCCGAUCAAGCUUUGCGCGAACAAACAAUCACUGUUAUUCUUCUUUUCAACCCAUCCACCUCUCUUUUUCGACGAAACAAAUGCUAAAACUGCCCCAUACCACCACCCAAACAACAAUAAAACAGUCCCUUCCAUCUUUCGUCUUCUCUCUCCCAGCAAACUAUUGAACUCUGGUGAAGCUCCCUGCGAACCGGAGAGUAACCUGUUACCAUGACGAGAUCCAGACAGACAGACCCAUGUUGCUGCUCCGUCAGAAUCUCCGAACUAGAGCUCCAAUAUAGUAUUACGAUAUAACUCGGGUGGGCACUAACAACCUUCAUCUCCGACAGCAACGAUGGAGUUCUGGUGAUGCGAACAUCACCAAUAUCUCCCAGUCUUUCCUUUUCACAAUUUGUACACCGUUUCUGGUUAAAUUUAUGGAUCUAGCCAAGUCAAAGAUAAUGGCGGAAUUGCUAUUCGACUUAUUUUCUCAGUUCGCUGCUCCGGAGAAGGUUAGUAAUUGUUUUUUUCUUCUUUUUCGCCUUCUGUUCCAUUUUUAAAAUAGAAUGCAGAAGGUUACUUCUCUUUUUUUUGCUUAGCUACUAGUUGAAUUGUGUAGUAGAAUAUGUGUAUGUGUCCUUAUUUCGAUAAAAAUCAACAUGUAGAAAGACUCACACGGCUAAGACUACUAUAGGAAGUAUUGAUUCUAUUAGUUGAAUAUAUGAAUAAUAGCGUAGCUUAUCUUUUUAUUUUUUACGUUUGGCUUAAUUCGUGUUUCGCCCCUUUUGACCUGUGAAAGGUGAAACAGAAUGAGGUUGUUCAUAGGAAGUUGUUUUCAUAGAAAUUAAUCUGCAAAUUCGUUAUCAUAUAGUUAGCCUGGUUGCUUUGUAUCUCCCCGACCAUAGUGUUUGCAGAAUAGGUGAAUUUCCUACUUGUUCAAUUGUGACCUCAAAACAUCAUGCUUUUUUUCUAUUCAGAUUUAGUAAUUUCCUCUGUCCGUUACUGUGUUCUAUUGGAUGUUUGAAAGUGAUAGUAUUCUUUAUGCUUCUUGGUAGAUGAAGUUGUUUUGAGUCAAGAUGGUCAUAUUGAAAAUGAUUUCCAGGGGAUUACUGGAAAAUAUUUUUUGUUCUAAUACCAUAACACCCUUUCGAGAAUAAUUUCUUUUAUAAUCACAAGCAACAACCCUCAAGGAUUUAUUACAUAUUGCUUUCUUGGAGACAAUUGUUUUCAUUGCCAUUUUGUCUUUUUUUUCCUUUUCUUCACUUCAUGAAUUGGUCGAUCCUCUCUUCAAAAACACUUGAAAAAUAGAUCAUCAUAAAUGAUUUUACUGUAAAAGAUUUAUAUAAUACUUAUUAAGGGAUAGUUGCUUUGGAAAAAAAAUGAUAGCAUUGCCUGUUCAAAUCGUGCUUAGUCGUACACUGGGACUUUUAUGCUCAUAAUGAUACAUUAGUUUUUUUGAAAACGUGUGGCCAAGCGGGUUCAAAUUCACCCUCUCCACUCGAGUUCGAUCCCUACACCUGUUUUUUCUACUUUUUCGGAGGUAGUGGUAUGGACUGCGGACAUCUUACCCUCCCCAGACCCCAUUUUGUGGGAAUUCACUGGGUUUGUUGUUGUUGUUGUUGUUGUUGUGUGUCGCACAUGCAUUUCAUAUUAGUAAGUGCAAAUUUUUAAUACGACUGCAAUAUUAAUUAAACAUGUGCAUGAGAUGCAAAAACAUUUAAAGAAUAAAAUAUAAGUCAAAAUGAUGGAUAAGGACCCUAUAAAAGCAACAUAGUAGUUAAAUUAUUCGAAACUUAAAAAGAACAAUUAUAUUCAUUUAGGUAGGUCCGAUUUGUUACUAUAUUACUUUUGAUGAAGUUCAAGCAUGUGAUAUGAACGGGUCUUACCUAAUAUUUCUUUAUAGACGAUGUUUUGUAUGGAUAUCUCAUUAUGAUGUCUACGUUGCUCUGUAAUGUGACUCAUGUCCAAUACUUUUAUUGUUAUGUUAGUAUCCUCUUAAUUGUAUAGCCGCUGUUGUUAAAAUGUGGGCGCCAUUUAUUGAUAUAUUAAGAAAUUUGUUUUGGGAACCCUCUCGAACUAAUUGUACUAUUACAACUAAUAAUAACAUGUUAGGUAGAAUAUUUGUAAAAUUUAUUGGAGUAAGAACAUCGAGCUUUAGGAAUAUAGAUCUGGAGGUAAUAGUUUUAUGGGUAGUGACAACCAUGAAAACAUAUUUGCAUACGUUUGUUUUUGUGGGAAUAUUUAAUCGUUUAUAUGUGGCAUUUCGUAUAUCGUGUUUAAAUUUUAUUUUUUUUCUCAUUGAAAACUCGAGUAUCUAAUCCGUAUCUUCUUCUAUUGCAUGAACUCCCUUAUUGAGUCCAUUGGACUCUUAUCUAUCACAUUCCGUUGGGUUAAACCCAACCUCCAUCGAGUCAGAGCCUCAACCGAAUUCACAAACGAGCUAGUACGCAUUGAUAUACUCUGAUAUACUGUGAAUAUACAUCGAAAGCAGCAGCUGCACGCUAUCCCACGGUUUAUGAUGAAAAAUGGAGCAAAAAUACGUAGGUAUCCACACUGAUAUACACUUUAUACACAGUGGUAUAUAGAAAAACCCAGGAAAGUAGCUGUUGAUAUACAACAGAUAUACAAGGGCGAAAAUGGACUACAAGUCAAUGGAAUUGGUCCAAAAUUGGACAGAUCUUUAAUGGGCCAAAAGGGGCCCAACUUUCUCUUCUCUAUUUAUUAUCCAUUAUAAUUUAUUUAUUUGUAUUUGCUUGAACACUUUAAUUAAUUAAUCUAAAGAUAAGUUCCUCAA